Molecule: long non-coding RNA, 1904 nt
Filed under: Homo sapiens (human)
Lineage: Eukaryota; Metazoa; Chordata; Mammalia; Primates; Hominidae
Description: HSALNT0251343
Source: RNAcentral
GGGGAGAAAAGAAGAUUAUUGAGAUUAGAUGAUUUUUUUCUUACAUAUUUAUUAUCCUGUUCUGUCCCAAUCAUCUCAAUAUUCAAAAAGUAGACUUGGAGGCUAGCAUAAAGAAAAGAACAGCCAAGCUUCUGAGGGCUGUUGAAUUUUUAAUCCUCUAACAUUUUUCUCCCCCUUCUCUAUUUGUUGUCUAUUUUCAAAGCCCUAAAGUAAAGAGAUUGUCUAAACCCCAUUCUUUGGCAGCCAUUCAAAAAGCUACGUCUUGUAACAUGACUGGGGAAAACCAGGAGUUAAUUUUUAGACAAAAAUUUAGGAGUCAGUAAUGAUGUUUUUAAAAACCUCAAUGUUUAGCAUUGAGGUGAGAUAUUUAAGUAAUAAAACUGAUGGCUCAGUGAUCAGAGCAUCAACAGCUCUCUGCCGGCAAAUCCUGGUGCUCUUUAUUGCUGUGGUCCUGUUCCAGCCCCAUAGCAGGAGAUUGCUAAUGAUCUGGGCUUGGGAUAUACACCUGUGUCCCUCCAGGGUCGUGGUUCUCUUCUUUUAAUCUGUUUCCUUCCCCAGCCUCAGAGUCUUCACCUGUGCUUUAGUGUGACAGGAUUUGCUGCUUUCCCUCAACUUGCUUAAGGCUCUUGCCCUCUGUAGGGGAGAAGGCUUUAGGAGGGGGUCUGUGUCGUGCCAGCAAAGACUGCCCCUGUGCCAUGACAGCUCCAUCAGGAAGCCUCCUCUCUUCUCAUCUGCUGCUCCCAAUCUUUCUCCUGAGCACCAGAAAUUACCUUGAGAAGAAGCCUGAAAAGGUGCAUGGUGUCCAGAAGCAUCUCCUCCAGCCAUGUGAAGAAGGACAUAUUUGCUUCCCUUGCUGCCAUGAUUGUAAGUUUCCUGAGGCCAGCCAUGCAGAACUGAACUGGAAAUGAAAUCCUUCGAAGAAAAAACAGAGGGUUGGGAAAUGGUAAAAGACCUUUUUGAUCUCAUCCAUCUUGAGGGAUGCGGCCUAAAGCACAUACAGUCCUCCAAAGAAAAAGUAAUGCCGUGUUACAAAACAGGUUUCCUAUUUUGAUGCACCUGGACAUACCGAGGACUAAACUGUCCUUAGAAGGGAUGUGCACAUUCACAUCAAGACACAAGACAACACCAUCAGACUUCUGGAAAUUAUUUAAAACUUAAGUUUUGGUUAUGGAUUACUGUUGGAGCCACAUCUCUGAAGGACAAUAAUAAAUGGAUUCCAGACACAUGGACAGACCCAGAAGACUCCAAAGCAGGGGCAAUAUUGCCUGUUUCUAGCAAACCCAUAAAAAUGAAACAAUUGGGCACCAAUUGUUUUAGAAAAGCCCACUCUCUUCAAAUGUGAGAUGAAAAAUGAGAAGAAAAAGGUGUUAAGAAGGACCUAAUUAAGAAUUUUUAUGUUACGUAUUUGAACAACUUGACUCUGAUGCAACAUCAUGAUGUAGGGAAUGGUUCAGAAGUCAUACUCGUGAAGUAGAAAGAAAAGAAAAACAAACAGAAAGUUGCACCAGAAUUAGUGUGGCACUGGUUUAUUUCCUACCUGAUUGUAAAGGAAAAAUUGAGAUAUGCUAAUUUAUCAUGCAGCCGCAUAACUUCAUAAUGCAAAAUUUAUGAGAAGAGAUGAGAGGAAAUUGGAGAGGAACAUUAUGGGAGCAAUAAAUACUUAUAUAUACUUAUAUAUAAUACUUAUAUAUAAUUGCAAAUAUUAUAAUGCUGUUGCAUAUUAGUUGAGACCAUUUAGGUGAUUAUUUAGGCUAAAAGUAUAUAUAUAUAUAUAUAUAUAUAUAUAUAUUUAAUUAAAAUACUAUUUAACUGAGCCUCUUGUAGGGGUUAAGUACCCUUCUAGGUAUUGGGGAUACAUCAAUUUCCCAUAUAAAGAUUCCUGUAGAAAUCUAUAUAUAUAUAUA